Molecule: long non-coding RNA, 348 nt
Organism: Drosophila innubila
Lineage: Eukaryota; Metazoa; Arthropoda; Insecta; Diptera; Drosophilidae
Exons: 2
Source: RefSeq, a predicted model, not a curated record
AUUAAAAGGGUAAUGUAACAUUUCCAACUUAAUUGAAAUAAAUGCAUAUUCCACAUAAUCUGUGUGAAACUAGAUAAGGUAUCGGAAAAUGCAUAGAAGGUCAAAAGGAACUCAGAGGGGACAAGGUUGAAGGUAGCGAAGAUGCCGCGAGUAAAAUGUCAGCAAAGGCGAAGAACAUUGGACCUCUGGGUUAGGUGGAUGUCAUGGUCUGGUGCCAUUAGCACGCCCCGAUUGGUGGAAACUGCUCAUAACAGGGCAGGAAGCAUGUGAGGCAAUGGGUCUUUGAGAUGGUGAUGGCUUUGCAGCGUGAAACAAAGACCUAAAAUCAAUAAAGACCAUUAAAAUGCA